GACGAACGCUGGCGGCGCGCCUAACACAUGCAAGUCGAACGAGCGAGAGAGAGCUUGCUUUCUCGAGCGAGUGGCGAACGGGUGAGUAACGCGUGAGGAACCUGCCUCAAAGAGGGGGACAACAGUUGGAAACGACUGCUAAUACCGCAUAAGCCCACGGUGCCGCAUGGCACCGAGGGAAAAGGAGCAAUCCGCUUUGAGAUGGCCUCGCGUCCGAUUAGCUAGUUGGUGAGGUAAUGGCCCACCAAGGCGACGAUCGGUAGCCGGACUGAGAGGUUGAACGGCCACAUUGGGACUGAGACACGGCCCAGACUCCUACGGGAGGCAGCAGUGGGGAAUAUUGCACAAUGGGGGAAACCCUGAUGCAGCGACGCCGCGUGGAGGAAGAAGGUCUUCGGAUUGUAAACUCCUGUUGUUGGGGAAGAUAAUGACGGUACCCAACAAGGAAGUGACGGCUAACUACGU
RNAcentral lists this ribosomal RNA (465 nucleotides) under uncultured bacterium. Its description in RNAcentral is "partial 16S ribosomal RNA". It matches the Rfam family "Bacterial small subunit ribosomal RNA", at positions 28 to 506 of the family's 1533-position model. The record is from RNAcentral.